CGCACGGGUGAGUAACACGUAUGCAACCUGCCUGCCACAGCCGGAUAAUCGGGAGAAAUUCCGUCUAAUACGGCAUAAUGCAUCGACGGGACAUCCUGUUGGUGCCAAAGGUUAAUUCCGGUGGCGGAUGGGCAUGCGUCGCAUUAGUUAGUUGGCGGGGUAACGGCCCACCGAGGCGACGAUGCGUAGGGGUUCUGAGAGGAAGGUCCCCCACACUGGUACUGAGACACGGACCAGACUCCUACGGAAGGCAGCAG
RNAcentral lists this ribosomal RNA (257 nucleotides) under uncultured bacterium. RNAcentral describes it as "partial 16S ribosomal RNA". It matches the Rfam family "Bacterial small subunit ribosomal RNA", at positions 99 to 354 of the family's 1533-position model. The record is from RNAcentral.